AAAUGCGAUAACUAGUGUGAAUUGCAGAAUUCCGUGAAUCAUCGAGUCUUUGAACGCACAUUGCGCCCCCUGGUAUUCCGGGGGGCAUGCCUGUCCGAGCGUCAUU
Molecule: ribosomal RNA, 106 nt
Filed under: Aspergillus flavus
Lineage: Eukaryota; Fungi; Ascomycota; Eurotiomycetes; Eurotiales; Aspergillaceae
Description: partial 5.8S ribosomal RNA
Rfam family: 5.8S ribosomal RNA
About the family: 5.8S ribosomal RNA (5.8S rRNA) is a component of the large subunit of the eukaryotic ribosome.
Source: RNAcentral